AUUGAACGCUGGCGGCAGGCCUAACACAUGCAAGUCGAACGGUAACAGGAAGCAGCUUGCUGCUUUGCUGACGAGUGGCGGACGGGUGAGUAAUGUCUGGGAAACUGCCUGAUGGAGGGGGAUAACUACUGGAAACGGUAGCUAAUACCGCAUAACGUCGCAAGACCAAAGAGGGGGACCUUCGGGCCUCUUGCCAUCGGAUGUGCCCAGAUGGGAUUAGCUAGUAGGUGGGGUAACGGCUCACCUAGGCGACGAUCCCUAGCUGGUCUGAGAGGAUGACCAGCCACACUGGAACUGAGACACGGUCCAGACUCCUACGGGAGGCAGCAGUGGGGAAUAUUGCACAAUGGGCGCAAGCCUGAUGCAGCCAUGCCGCGUGUAUGAAGAAGGCCUUCGGGUUGUAAAGUACUUUGCAGCGGGGAGGAAGGCGAUAAGGUUAAUAACCUUGUCGAUUGACGUUACCCGCAGAAGAAGCACCGCUAACUCC
RNAcentral lists this ribosomal RNA (487 nucleotides) under Enterobacter hormaechei. Its description in RNAcentral is "bacterial SSU rRNA". It matches the Rfam family "Bacterial small subunit ribosomal RNA", at positions 30 to 504 of the family's 1533-position model. Lineage: Bacteria; Pseudomonadati; Pseudomonadota; Gammaproteobacteria; Enterobacterales; Enterobacteriaceae. The record is from RNAcentral.